AUAAGGUAGAGAUAUUGUUGUCU
RNAcentral lists this microRNA (23 nucleotides) under Drosophila mojavensis. RNAcentral's name for it is "Dmo-Mir-962_5p (mature (guide))". Lineage: Eukaryota; Metazoa; Arthropoda; Insecta; Diptera; Drosophilidae. The record is from RNAcentral.